This 358-nucleotide ribosomal RNA is filed under the name uncultured soil bacterium. RNAcentral describes it as "bacterial SSU rRNA". It matches the Rfam family "Bacterial small subunit ribosomal RNA", at positions 26 to 386 of the family's 1533-position model. The record is from RNAcentral.
AGAUUGAACGCUGGCGGCAGGCCUAACACAUGCAAGUCGAGCGGUAGAGAGGUGCUUGCACCUCUUGAGAGCGGCGGACGGGUGAGUAAUGCCUAGGAAUCUGCCUAGUGGUGGGGGAUAACGUUCGGAAACGGACGCUAAUACCGCAUACGUCCUACGGGAGAAAGCGGGGGACCUUCGGGCCUCGCGCCAUUAGAUGAGCCUAGGUCGGAUUAGCUAGUUGGUGAGGUAAUGGCUCACCAAGGCGACGAUCCGUAACUGGUCUGAGAGGAUGAUCAGUCACACUGGAACUGAGACACGGUCCAGACUCCUACGGGAGCAGCAGUGGGGAAUAUUGGACAAUGGGACGAAAGCCUAG